Molecule: ribosomal RNA, 490 nt
Filed under: uncultured bacterium
Lineage: Bacteria
Description: partial 16S ribosomal RNA
Rfam family: Bacterial small subunit ribosomal RNA
Source: RNAcentral
AUUGAACGCUGGCGGCAGGCUUAACACAUGCAAGUCGAGCGGUAGCACAGGGGAGCUUGCUCCCUGGGUGACGAGCGGCGGACGGGUGAGAAAUGUCUGGGAAACUGCCUGAUGGAGGGGGAUAACUACUGGAAACGGUAGCUAAUACCGCAUAACGUCGCAAGACCAAAGAGGGGGAGCUUCGUGCCGCUUGCCAUCGGAUGUGCCCCGCUGGGAAUAGCUAGGAGGUGGGGUAAUGGCUCACCUAGGCGAGGAGCCCUGGCGGGUCUGAGAGGAUGAGCAGCCACACUGGAACUGAGACACGGUCCAGGCUCCUACGGGAGGCAGCAGUGGGGAAUAUUGCACAAAGGGCGCAAGCCUGAUGCAGCCAUGCCGCGUGUGUGAAGAAGGCCUUCGGGUUGUAAAGCACUUUCAGCGAGGAGGAAGGUGGUGAGCUUAAUACGUUCAUCAAGUGACGUUACUCGCAGAAGAAGCACCGGCUAACUCCGUG